Molecule: ribosomal RNA, 253 nt
Filed under: uncultured bacterium
Lineage: Bacteria
Description: partial 16S ribosomal RNA
Rfam family: Bacterial small subunit ribosomal RNA
Source: RNAcentral
UACAGAGGGUGCGAGCGUUAAUCGGAAUUAUUGGGCGUAAAGGGCGCGUAGGCGGACAUUUAAGUGGUAUGUGAAAUACCCGGGCUUAACCUGGGGAGGUCAUAUCAUACUGGAUGUCUAGAGUUUAGUAGAGGAAAGCGGAAUUCCGGGUGUAGCGGUGAAAUGCGUAGAUAUCCGGAGGAACAUCGGAGGCGAAGGCGGCCGGCUGGGGCCAUUCUGACGCUGAGGCGCGAAAGCGUGGGGAGCAAACAGG